RNAcentral lists this ribosomal RNA (253 nucleotides) under uncultured bacterium. RNAcentral describes it as "partial 16S ribosomal RNA". It matches the Rfam family "Bacterial small subunit ribosomal RNA", at positions 524 to 777 of the family's 1533-position model. The record is from RNAcentral.
UACGAAGGGGGCUAGCGUUGCUCGGAAUUACUGGGCGUAAAGCGCACGUAGGCGGCUUCUUAAGUCGGUGGUGAAAUCCUGGAGCUCAACUCCAGAACUGCCUUCGAUACUGGGAGCUCGAGUCCGGGAGAGGUGAGUGGAACUGCGAGUGUAGAGGUGAAAUUCGUAGAUAUUCGCAAGAACACCAGUAGCGAAGGCGGCUCACUGGCCCGGUACUGACGCUGAGGUGCGAAAGCGUGGGGAGCAAACAGGG